RNAcentral lists this ribosomal RNA (301 nucleotides) under uncultured bacterium. RNAcentral's name for it is "partial 16S ribosomal RNA". It matches the Rfam family "Bacterial small subunit ribosomal RNA", at positions 509 to 807 of the family's 1533-position model. The record is from RNAcentral.
CAGCCGCCACGGUAAUACGGAGGAUCCGAGCGUUAUCCGGAAUUAUUGGGUUUAAAGGGUGCGUAGGCGGAUAGAUAAGUCAGUGGUGAAAGACGGUGGCUCAACCAUCGCAGUGCCGUUGAUACUGUUUAUCUUGAAUAUGGAUGAGGUAGGCGGAAUGUGGCAAGUAGCGGUGAAAUGCAUAGAUAUGCCACAGAACACCGAUUGCGAAGGCAGCUUACCAAGGCAAAAUUGACGCUGAGGCACGAAAGCGUGGGGAUCGAACAGGAUUAGAUACCCCCGUAGUCCCUGUCUCUUAUAC